GAUGAACGCUGGCGGUAUGCUUAACACAUGCAAGUCGAACGGACUCUUCGGAUUUAGUGGCGGAUGGGUGAGUAACGCGUGAGAAUCUGGCUUUGGGUUCGGGACAACCACUGGAAACGGUGGCUAAUACCGGAUGUGCCGAGAGGUAAAAGAGAAAUUGCCUGAAGAUGAGCUCGCGUCUGAUUAGCUAGUUGGUGAGGUAAAGGCUCACCAAGGCAGCGAUCAGUAGCUGGUCUGAGAGGAUGACCAGCCACACUGGGACUGAGACACGGCCCAGACUACUACGGGAGGCAGCAGGGGGGAAUGCUCAGCAAGGGGCGAAAGCCUGACGGAGCAAUACCGCGUGAGGGAAGAAGGCUCUUGGGUUGUAAACCUCUUUUCGUAGGGAAGAACAAAAUGACGGUACCUAAGGAAUCAGCAUCGGCUAACUACGUG
This 435-nucleotide ribosomal RNA is filed under the name uncultured bacterium. Its description in RNAcentral is "partial 16S ribosomal RNA". It matches the Rfam family "Bacterial small subunit ribosomal RNA", at positions 28 to 507 of the family's 1533-position model. The record is from RNAcentral.